Molecule: ribosomal RNA, 227 nt
Filed under: uncultured bacterium
Lineage: Bacteria
Description: partial 16S ribosomal RNA
Rfam family: Bacterial small subunit ribosomal RNA
Source: RNAcentral
AGUAACGCGUGAGGAACCUGCCUCAAAGAGGGGGACAACAGUUGGAAACGACUGCUAAUACCGCAUAAGCGCACGGCUCGGCAUCGAGCAGAGGGAAAAGGAGCAAUCCGCUUUGAGAUGGCCUCGCGUCCGAUUAGCUAGUUGGUGAGGUAAUGGCCCACCAAGGCGACGAUCGGUAGCCGGACCGAGAGGUUGAACGGCCACAUUGGGACUGAGACACGGCCCAG